CUUGUGGACUGAGCAAUCUGCGGCCGGGUCUCGAGGGGAAAAUAGGUCUGUGGUCCGCAAGGCCCCAAUGGAGACCUUGGGUUCCCGCAGAACCGACUGGGUCUCCAGUAGUCUCUGAGGAGCCGCUCGACCUUCUCCCGACCCUGGAUCUGAGGCAGGAGAUGCCUCCCCCGCGGGUGUUCAAGAGCUUUCUGAGCCUGCUCUUCCAGGGGCUGAGCGUGUUGUUAUCCCUGGCAGGAGACGUGCUGGUCAGCAUGUACAGGUCAGAGGAAGGGACGCUGGCGCCCCAGGAGCAGCUCUUUGGAGGGGGUGGGGAGCAGGGCCGGAACCUUGCUGGCGCUUGAGCCGAUUCAGAUCUGAUUGAGUCAUGUUGGCAAGAGCUGGGUCUGGGACCCUGGGGUGGGGACUGGAGGGUUGAGCAGGUCGGGGCCUCAGCCUCCCUCCGGUUCCCCAGGGAGGUCUGUUCCAUCCGCUUCCUGUUCACGGCUGUGUCGCUGCUGAGCCUCUUUCUGUCAGCAUUCUGGCUGGGGCUUCUGUACCUGGUCUCUCCUUUGGAGAAUGAACCUAAGGAGAUGCUGACUCUAAGGUGAAAGAGGGCACCUAGGGUGGGAAAUUGGGGGGCUCAAAGUUGCUUCUUUGAGAACCUUGAAGGCGUGGGGGCCUUUGGGAGGUGUCCAGGGGGACAGGGAGCCAACCCCACGGCGCCCACCUCCCACCUCCAGUGAGUACCACGAGCGCGUGCGCUCCCAGGGGCAGCAGCUGCAGCAGCUCCAGGCCGAGCUGGAUAAACUCCACAAGGAGGUGUCCACUGUUCGGGCAGCCAACAGCGAGAGAGUGGCCAAGCUCGUGUUCCAGAGGCUGAAUGAGGAUUUUGUGCGGAAGCCCGACUAUGCUUUGAGCUCUGUGGGAGCCUCCAUCGACCUGCAGAAGACAUCCCACGAUUACGCAGACAGGAACACUGCCUACUUCUGGAAUCGCUUCAGCUUCUGGAACUACGCACGGCCGCCCACGGUUAUCCUGGAGCCCCACGUGUUCCCUGGGAAUUGCUGGGCUUUUGAAGGCGACCAAGGCCAGGUGGUGAUCCAACUGCCGGGCCGAGUGCAGCUGAGCGACAUCACUCUGCAGCAUCCACCGCCCAGCGUGGAGCACACCGGAGGAGCCAACAGCGCCCCCCGCGAUUU
This 1181-nucleotide small RNA is filed under the name Pan troglodytes (chimpanzee). RNAcentral describes it as "retained intron". The record is from RNAcentral. Lineage: Eukaryota; Metazoa; Chordata; Mammalia; Primates; Hominidae.